CUAAGACUCAUUGCAAACUAGGAUUUUGAUAAUUAGAAUACAGACCACUUUGUUUAGCUGUGUGCUAACAAAACCAAAGAGAGAUUCUCUAGCCCGUUGCUCUUGUAUUUUCCCUUGUGGAGAUUACAGAAGCGGCCGCGUCAUCGCCACCUAAUCUGUGCUCCUGAUUCAUGUUUAGGUUGCGUAGGUUGGUUCUUUAAGAGUGUGAUUGGGCGAAUCCUUGGUUCAGACUGCUGUAGAGAGGCGGGAGUUGGCUCCUUGUGCGUAUCGUCAGGUUGCACUAGUUAUCGCUGCUUGCAGCAAGUUAUCCGCCGUUCUUCGGCAAGUUAUCAAGAUCAAGAUCCUUCGUCGUGAAGAUCGGGACAACAGCCUCAUUAUCUUGUAUCAAAGCAUUCGUUGCCACGGUAGGAUUUUUACCAUUAGCUACAUAUAUAUUUUGUGUUCGUCCUAUCCACUAAAAAGCCACAAAAAUAUUUUGCAUCAGCCUGUUGUUUCAAUCUAUUAUUCUUGUGAGUUUGGUUAAAUUUUGGUCCAUUAGAGUCUCUAUUUUAGUUGCUGAUUAUAUUCCUUUGCAUGUCCUUUGAGCUUCUUUAACAUAUCUACAAAUUCCUAAAACAAAAAUUCAGAAACCCGUAUCAUCCGUCGCAUAAACUUUGAUCCUAUCAAGUUAGAACACUGACGGUUGUGUCUUGUUUCUACCAAAAAGAAAGUGUGUAAUUUUAUAUAUGAUCUUAUUCUUAGUUGUGUAAAAAAAGGUGACAAAAAAAAGAGAAAGAAAGAAAAGACUCAAAAAAAGAGAAGAAAGAUUGAGGAAAGAAAAGUUGUGAAGGAAGAGUAGAAAGUUUUCAGUUUGUUUAUGUGCACAAGCUCUGAAUUUUAUAUCAAGUUGCACAUCAGCUUGUUAUCUAUCUUUGGUGCAAAAUUUUGCUUGGGGUUGAUUGCAACACUUGCAUUCUAAGCAUACACCUUGUUUGCAUCAAAUCUGAAAGUAUCUUUGCGUGUGUGUUUGAUCCUAUUGAAGUGUUCGAAAUUCAACGUGAUGCUUUCUCUAUGAAUAGCAUAUGUGCGUGAAGGAAUUGCAUGCACAUUUUAUGGCUAUGGUUGGCAAAAGAAAUGUGGUUGCAUGACAUUUGCAAGGUCAUGGUCUUCAAGAGAGAUGCGUGAUCUUCGUCACACUCCUUGCGCACAGCCAUGGAGUAAUAUUGUUGGAUGGCAUGCAUAGGCUAUGAGUAGUCAUUUGCUCAGAAUAGAGUUCCACCA
This 1260-nucleotide long non-coding RNA is filed under the name Sorghum bicolor (sorghum). RNAcentral describes it as "long non-coding RNA (SBIC_LNC012197)". The record is from RNAcentral. Lineage: Eukaryota; Viridiplantae; Streptophyta; Magnoliopsida; Poales; Poaceae.